AGAGUUUGAUCCUGGCUCAGGAUGAACGCUAGCUACAGGCUUAACACAUGCAAGUCGAGGGGAAACGACAUCGAAAGCUUGCUUUUGAUGGGCGUCGACCGGCGCACGGGUGAGUAACGCGUAUCCAACCUGCCCACCACUUGGGGAUAACCUUGCGAAAGUAAGACUAAUACCCAAUGACGUCUCUAGAAGACAUCUGAAAGGGAUUAAAGAUUUAUCGGUGAUGGAUGGGGGAUGCGUCUGAUUAGCUUGUUGGCGGGGUAACGGCCCACCAAGGCGACGAUCAGUAGGGGUUCUGAGAGGAAGGUCCCCCACAUUGGAACUGAGACACGGUCCAAACUCCUACGGGAGGCAGCAGUGAGGAAUAUUGGUCAAUGGGCGAGAGCCUGAACCAGCCAAGUAGCGUGCAGGAUGACGGCCCUAUGGGUUGUAAACUGCUUUUAUAAGGGAAUAAAGUGAGUCUCGUGAGACUUUUUGCAUGUACCUUAUGAAUAAGGACCGGCUAAUUCCGUGCCAGCAGCCGCGGUAAUACGGAAGGUCCGGGCGUUAUCCGGAUUUAUUGGGUUUAAAGGGAGCGUAGGCCGGAGAUUAAGCGUGUUGUGAAAUGUAGACGCUCAACGUCUGCACUGCAGCGCGAACUGGUUUCCUUGAGUACGCACAAAGUGGGCGGAAUUCGUGGUGUAGCGGUGAAAUGCUUAGAUAUCACGAAGAACUCCGAUUGCGAAGGCAGCUCACUGGAGCGCAACUGACGCUGAAGCUCGAAAGUGCGGGUAUCGAACAGGAUUAGAUACCCUGGUAGUCCGCACGGUAAACGAUGGAUGCCCGCUGUUGGUCUGAAUAGGUCAGCGGCCAAGCGAAAGCAUUAAGCAUCCCACCUGGGGAGUACGCCGGCAACGGUG
Molecule: ribosomal RNA, 899 nt
Filed under: uncultured bacterium
Lineage: Bacteria
Description: bacterial SSU rRNA
Rfam family: Bacterial small subunit ribosomal RNA
Source: RNAcentral